GGCGGGGUAGCUCAGCUGGUUAGAGCGCCGGAAUCAUAAUCCGUAGGUCGUGGGUUCGAAUCCCUCCCCCGCUA
This 74-nucleotide transfer RNA is filed under the name Ignavibacteriales bacterium. RNAcentral's name for it is "tRNA-Met". It matches the Rfam family "tRNA". Rfam says of the family: Transfer RNA (tRNA) molecules are approximately 80 nucleotides in length. Their secondary structure includes four short double-helical elements and three loops (D, anti-codon, and T loops). The record is from RNAcentral. Lineage: Bacteria; Pseudomonadati; Ignavibacteriota; Ignavibacteria; Ignavibacteriales. RNAcentral also lists the same sequence under 2 other names.